UAUUGCGCAAUGGGGGGCAACCCUGACGCAGCCAUGCCGCGUGAAUGAAGAAGGCCUUCGGGUUGUAAAGUUCUUUCGGUGAUGAGGAACCCCGGAUGUUUAAAUAGGGCAUUCAAUUGACGUUAAUCACAGAAGAAGCACCGGCUAACUCCGUGCCAGCAGCCGCGGUAAUACGGAGGGUGCGAGCGUUAAUCGGAAUAACUGGGCGUAAAGGGCACGCAGGCGGAUAAUUAAGUGAGAUGUGAAAUCCCCGAGCUUAACUUGGGAAUUGCAUUUCAUACUGGUUAUCUAGAGUCUUGUAGAGAGGGGUAGAAUUCCACGUGUAGCGGUGAAAUGCGUAGAGAUGGGAGGAAUACCGGAGUCGAAGGCGGCCCCUGGAUUUACUACGUCAUUGCGAAA
Molecule: ribosomal RNA, 399 nt
Filed under: uncultured bacterium
Lineage: Bacteria
Description: bacterial SSU rRNA
Rfam family: Bacterial small subunit ribosomal RNA
Source: RNAcentral